GACGAACGCUGGCGGCGCGCUUAACACAUGCAAGUCGAACGGAAAGGCCUGCUUUCCCUUGUGGUUUGCGGGUACUCGGGUGGCGAACGGGUGAGUAACACGUGAGUGAUCUGCCCCCAACUUGGGUAUAAGCCUGGGAGACUGGGUCUAAUUCCCGAUAGGACUGCAGGGUGGUGCCUGUGGUGGCAAACGAUUUUCUAGUGGUUGGGGAUGAGCUCGCGGCGUAUCAGCUUGUUGGUGGGGCAAAGGCCUACCAAGACGGAGACGGGUAGCCGGCCGGGGAUCGGCGACGGCGACACUGGGACUCGGACACGACCCAGACGCCUGCGAGCGGCAGCAGUGGGGAAGCAUUGAGCGUGAGCGGAAGCCUGAUGCACCGCGUGCGUGAGGAAGAUGACGGCCUUCUGGUUGUAAACUCCUUUCGACCGCGAGGUAGCCACCUGGUUGGAAGGGUGGUGACGGUAGUGGUAGAAGAAGCACCGGCUAACUACGUG
RNAcentral lists this ribosomal RNA (494 nucleotides) under uncultured bacterium. RNAcentral describes it as "partial 16S ribosomal RNA". It matches the Rfam family "Bacterial small subunit ribosomal RNA", at positions 28 to 507 of the family's 1533-position model. The record is from RNAcentral.